This 800-nucleotide ribosomal RNA is filed under the name Salinivibrio sp. JSM 075048. RNAcentral's name for it is "bacterial SSU rRNA". It matches the Rfam family "Bacterial small subunit ribosomal RNA", at positions 41 to 821 of the family's 1533-position model. The record is from RNAcentral. Lineage: Bacteria; Pseudomonadati; Pseudomonadota; Gammaproteobacteria; Vibrionales; Vibrionaceae.
GGCGGGCUACCAUGCAAGUCGAGCGGAAACGGCAGUAUUGAAGCUUCGGUGGAUUUACUGGACGUCGAGCGGCGGACGGGUGAGUAACGGCUGGGAACCUGCCCUGACGAGGGGGAUAACCGUUGGAAACGACGGCUAAUACCGCAUAAUGUCUACGGACCAAAGGUGGCCUCUACAUGUAAGCUAUCGCGUUGGGAUGGGCCCAGUUAGGAUUAGCUAGUUGGUAAGGUAACGGCUUACCAAGGCGACGAUCCUUAGCUGGUUUGAGAGGAUGAUCAGCCACACUGGGACUGAGACACGGCCCAGACUCCUACGGGAGGCAGCAGUGGGGAAUAUUGCACAAUGGGGGAGACCCUGAUGCAGCCAUGCCGCGUGUGUGAAGAAGGCCUUCGGGUUGUAAAGCACUUUCAGCAGUGAGGAAGGUAGUGUACUUAAUACGUGCAUUGCUUGACGUUAGCUGCAGAAGAAGCACCGGCUAACUCCGUGCCAGCAGCCGCGGUAAUACGGAGGGUGCGAGCGUUAAUCGGAAUUACUGGGCGUAAAGCGCAUGCAGGCGGUUUGUUAAGUCAGAUGUGAAAGCCCGGGGCUCAACCUCGGAACCGCAUUUGAAACUGGCAGGCUAGAGUCUUGUAGAGGGGGGUAGAAUUUCAGGUGUAGCGGUGAAAUGCGUAGAGAUCUGAAGGAAUACCAGUGGCGAAGGCGGCCCCCUGGACAAAGACUGACGCUCAGAUGCGAAAGCGUGGGUAGCAAACAGGAUUAGAUACCCUGGUAGUCCACGCCGUAAACGAUGUCUACUUGGA